RNAcentral lists this ribosomal RNA (428 nucleotides) under uncultured bacterium. Its description in RNAcentral is "partial 16S ribosomal RNA". It matches the Rfam family "Bacterial small subunit ribosomal RNA", at positions 354 to 796 of the family's 1533-position model. The record is from RNAcentral.
GUAGGGAAUAUUGCACAAUGGAGGAAACUCUGACGCAGCGACGCCGCGUGAGUGAUGAAGGCCUUCGGGUCGUAAAGCUCUGUCGCAGGGGAAUAACACAAUGAAGGUACCCUGUAAGAAAGGAUCGGCUAACUUCGUGCCAGCAGCCGCGGUAAGACGAGGGAUCCUAGCGUUGUUCGGAAUCAUUGGGCGUAAAGCGGAUGUAGGUGGCUAUGUAAGUCAGAUGUGAAAGCCUGGGGCUCAACCCCAGAAGUGCAUUUGAUACUGCGUAGCUUGAGUGUCGGAGAGGUUACUAGAAUUGUUGGUGUAGUGGUGAAAUACGUAGAUAUAAACAGGAAUACCGGAGGCGAAGGCGGGUAACUGGCCGAACACUGACACUGAGAUCCGAAAGCGUGGGGAUCAAACAGGAUUAGAUACCCGUGUAGUCC